RNAcentral lists this ribosomal RNA (513 nucleotides) under uncultured bacterium. Its description in RNAcentral is "partial 16S ribosomal RNA". It matches the Rfam family "Bacterial small subunit ribosomal RNA", at positions 28 to 523 of the family's 1533-position model. The record is from RNAcentral.
GACGAACGCUGGCGGCGUGCCUAAUACAUGCAAGUUGAGCGCUGAAGGUUGGUACUUGUACCGACUGGAUGAGCAGCGAACGGGUGAGUAACGCGUGGGGAAUCUGCCUUUGAGCGGGGGACAACAUUUGGAAACGAAUGCUAAUACCGCAUAAAAACUUUAAACACAAGUUUUAAGUUUGAAAGAUGCAAUUGCAUCACUCAAAGAUGAUCCCGCGUUGUAUUAGCUAGUUGGUGAGGUAAAGGUUCACCAAGGCGAUGAUACAUAGCCGACCUGAGAGGGUGAUCGGCCACAAUGGGACAGAGAAACGGCCCAAACUCCUACGGGAGGCAGCAGUAGGGAAUCUUCGGCAAUGGACGAAAGUCUGACCGAGCAACGCCGCGUGAGUGAAGAAGGUUUUCGGAUCGUAAAACUCCGUUGGUAGAGAAGAACGUUGGUGAGAGUGGAAAGCUCAUCAAGUGACGGUAACUACCCAGAAAGGGACGGCUAACUACGUGCCGGCAGCCGCAGUAA